RNAcentral lists this long non-coding RNA (330 nucleotides) under Helianthus annuus (common sunflower). RNAcentral's name for it is "sRNA HanXRQr2_Chr02g0056151". Lineage: Eukaryota; Viridiplantae; Streptophyta; Magnoliopsida; Asterales; Asteraceae. The record is from RNAcentral.
CAUUUUCGCUCGCAUAACUUAUCAACUAUCACAUAAUUCUAUAGAUUACCAUGAAUCUACUGUGAAGAUACUAUAAAACAUGAAAAAGCUCAUCAUUCCAAGUGUUGAAACAGUGACAACCACCUUCAUAGUUGCUCGGCCCAAUCCUUCAUCUUGAUCAUUGACUGCAGAUUUGAUGAGUGACCCAUCUUCACCUUGGUAACCAUUAACUGUCAUAAGUGUGCGGGCGUGAGGACAGAGCUUCCAACCAUGACCUGUUAUCCACUAAUACGUAGAACUCUUUGCUAUCGGGGGCCAAGAAAACGCUAUGAUCCGAAAGAUAAGACUGCA